GGCACAGUGUCUUAGUGGUUAGCACACUUGCCUUGAAUCUCUGAGGUUGGGGGUUCAAAUCCCGCCUCCGCCC
This is a non-coding RNA of Ameiurus melas (black bullhead), 73 nucleotides long. Lineage: Eukaryota; Metazoa; Chordata; Actinopteri; Siluriformes; Ictaluridae. The record is from the annotation of a GenBank genome assembly.